GUAGUCCACACCGUAAACGUUGGGCGCUAGGUGUGGGAUCCAUUCCACGGGUUCCGUGCCGCAGCUAACGCAUUAAGCGCCCCGCCUGGGGAGUACGGCCGCAAGGCUAAAACUCAAAGGAAUUGACGGGGCCCGCACAAGCGGCGGAGCAUGCGGAUUAAUUCGAUGCAACGCGAAGAACCUUACCUGGGUUUGACAUACGCCGGAAAGCUCUAGAGAUAGAGCCCCUUUUAGUCGGUGUACAGGUGGUGCAUGGCUGUCGUCAGCUCGUGUCGUGAGAUGUUGGGUUAAG
Molecule: ribosomal RNA, 292 nt
Filed under: uncultured bacterium
Lineage: Bacteria
Description: partial 16S ribosomal RNA
Rfam family: Bacterial small subunit ribosomal RNA
Source: RNAcentral